Molecule: ribosomal RNA, 1402 nt
Filed under: Klebsiella pneumoniae
Lineage: Bacteria; Pseudomonadati; Pseudomonadota; Gammaproteobacteria; Enterobacterales; Enterobacteriaceae
Description: bacterial SSU rRNA
Rfam family: Bacterial small subunit ribosomal RNA
Source: RNAcentral
AGUCGAGCGGUAGCACAGAGAGCUUGCUCUCGGGUGACGAGCGGCGGACGGGUGAGUAAUGUCUGGGAAACUGCCUGAUGGAGGGGGAUAACUACUGGAAACGGUAGCUAAUACCGCAUAACGUCGCAAGACCAAAGUGGGGGACCUUCGGGCCUCAUGCCAUCAGAUGUGCCCAGAUGGGAUUAGCUGGUAGGUGGGGUAACGGCUCACCUAGGCGACGAUCCCUAGCUGGUCUGAGAGGAUGACCAGCCACACUGGAACUGAGACACGGUCCAGACUCCUACGGGAGGCAGCAGUGGGGAAUAUUGCACAAUGGGCGCAAGCCUGAUGCAGCCAUGCCGCGUGUGUGAAGAAGGCCUUCGGGUUGUAAAGCACUUUCAGCGGGGAGGAAGGCGAUAAGGUUAAUAACCUUGUCGAUUGACGUUACCCGCAGAAGAAGCACCGGCUAACUCCGUGCCAGCAGCCGCGGUAAUACGGAGGGUGCAAGCGUUAAUCGGAAUUACUGGGCGUAAAGCGCACGCAGGCGGUCUGUCAAGUCGGAUGUGAAAUCCCCGGGCUCAACCUGGGAACUGCAUUCGAAACUGGCAGGCUAGAGUCUUGUAGAGGGGGGUAGAAUUCCAGGUGUAGCGGUGAAAUGCGUAGAGAUCUGGAGGAAUACCGGUGGCGAAAGCGGCCCCCUGGACAAAGACUGACGCUCAGGUGCGAAAGCGUGGGGAGCAAACAGGAUUAGAUACCCUGGUAGUCCACGCUGUAAACGAUGUCGAUUUGGAGGUUGUGCCCUUGAGGCGUGGCUUCCGGAGCUAACGCGUUAAAUCGACCGCCUGGGGAGUACGGCCGCAAGGUUAAAACUCAAAUGAAUUGACGGGGGCCCGCACAAGCGGUGGAGCAUGUGGUUUAAUUCGAUGCAACGCGAAGAACCUUACCUGGUCUUGACAUCCACAGAACUUUCCAGAGAUGGAUUGGUGCCUUCGGGAACUGUGAGACAGGUGCUGCAUGGCUGUCGUCAGCUCGUGUUGUGAAAUGUUGGGUUAAGUCCCGCAACGAGCGCAACCCUUAUCCUUUGUUGCCAGCGGUUAGGCCGGGAACUCAAAGGAGACUGCCAGUGAUAAACUGGAGGAAGGUGGGGAUGACGUCAAGUCAUCAUGGCCCUUACGACCAGGGCUACACACGUGCUACAAUGGCAUAUACAAAGAGAAGCGACCUCGCGAGAGCAAGCGGACCUCAUAAAGUAUGUCGUAGUCCGGAUUGGAGUCUGCAACUCGACUCCAUGAAGUCGGAAUCGCUAGUAAUCGUAGAUCAGAAUGCUACGGUGAAUACGUUCCCGGGCCUUGUACACACCGCCCGUCACACCAUGGGAGUGGGUUGCAAAAGAAGUAGGUAGCUUAACCUUCGGGAGGGCGCU